Molecule: long non-coding RNA, 2208 nt
Filed under: Canis lupus familiaris (dog)
Lineage: Eukaryota; Metazoa; Chordata; Mammalia; Carnivora; Canidae
Description: lncRNA (ENSCAFG00845030446.1)
Source: RNAcentral
GGAGGGCUACUCUACUCGUGCACAGUUUGAUUUUGUACUCUUGAUCCUGAUAUUUAUUUUCAUUCUAUUUAAUCCUAGCUUGCCAUUUCAACCGAAAGAAUCCAAACUCUUGCCUUUUACCUCGUCUGGUACCAGUGAACUUGCUUUGCAGCAGUUGCGUAAGGGAGCCACUGGUCAGUCCUGAAGGGCACUGCAUUUCGAAUGGACUCCUGCAUUUACUUUGGUAUCUGAUCAAGGAGCAGAAGGUGCUAAAGUUCAUUUCCAUAGAUCUUCUCUGUUCUCAUACCUGGUCUUCCCGACGAUUUGAACAUAUGAAUCUCCUCCGGGAAAGGGAUUCUGACUGGAACUUCCCUAAAGGGGGUGGAAAUCUAAUAACCCACCUCACCUCCAGCCUGGAGGUUGAAUGAUAGGGUACCUAUAUCUCAGUUUGAAGUCAUCAGAGGAAGGGGGAAAAAUACAAACGUUCAAAGGGCCUGCUUGCAUAGUUACAGUUGAGACGACAGACAUUUCUCAACAGGUUCAAAAGAGACAGAUGAGAGUUGAGAAGGCAUUUUCGGGUGCCGUGGAUCCAGUGACCCACCACAGUGCCGGAGGAGCUUACACCCUUUCUCUAGCCACAGCACUCCUCAACUGAUUUUUUUUUUUUUUAAUAUGGUCAUGGUUGUUAACUGCUGCUCUAAGCCUCAACAGAAUCGUGAUAGAAAAUAUAAUACAAACGAUAGUGGGCCCAGGAGCUAGGAAACCUUGAUUCCAAAUUUUGGCUCCACCACUAGCUCAAUGGAUGGUCUUAUUCAAAUUACUCUACUCUUUCCUAAUCCGUCAAAUAAGACAAUAGGACCACUUGGUCUCUAAGGUCCCUCUGUCUCUAACAUUGUUAGUCUGAGAGAAAGGUGCAUCAAUGUCAUUGGUUGACUUUGAGUGUGUCUGAGCCCUUUCAUAGAGACCAAGGUAAGUAGUAGCAUUGCUGCAUUGUGCUCUUGUUAGCUUAAAGAUUGUGUUUCUGGUUCAAGUUGGACCAUGUUUUAGUCCCUUCCAGAAAAGAGAAGUUAGGCAUAGAGAAAACAAAACAAAACAAAACAAACUGAACAUAGCAUCAACUUCCUGAAAGGAAAGACAGAGGGGACCUCCUGUGAGUUUCUUCUUUGUGAUAAUUGCUGUUUUUCUUCUGAGUUACAAGGCAUGGGGAAAAUAACAGAUACUAUGAGUAAAACACCUUAACAUGUUGUAUCUAUUGUUUUCAUAAACCAAAGCAGAGAGAACUCUGUAUGGUUACUGUUCCAAGGUUCCAUGGAUAUCUGAUGUAUUCUUAAUCAUAUCUAGAAACAAGUAGUUUUAAGUCCGUGAUUGUUUUACCAGUAUAAUCAGUGGUUCCAUAUGCCUUUAGAGAAUGUGGUUUCUUUUUUUUUUUAAGAUUUUAUUUAUUCAUGAGAGACACACACAGAGAGAGAGGCAGAGACACAGGCAGAGGGAGAAGCAGGCUCCAUGCAGGGAGCCUGACGUGGGUCUCGAUCCUGGGACUCCAGGAUCACGCCCUGAGCCAGGGGCAGAUGCUCAACCGCUGAGCCACCCAGGCAUCCCGAGAAUGUGGUUUCUUGAUAAUUUUAGCAUUCAUUGAGAUUACUGCCUUGGCAUUUUUUUCUCUUAAUCGACCAGAAUUAAAGAAAUCAAAUUUAAGUUGAACAGCAUCAACCAGGAACCAUUGAUAUAAAAUAAUACAAUAGGAAACUGACAGUUGUGCGAGUUUGGUUGUUGUAGGAAUGCCUAGACUUUGGCUAGAUGGAAACGUUUGUCUAGGACCCAGGUCAUUUGAAAUAAAAUAUUGAGAUCAAUCUAAUUCUCAUUUAAGGUAAUAUCCAGUUAAAAUAAUCUAAGAAGUAUCAUUGAUGAGGAUAAAAGCUAGAACAUUGCAAUAUGGCUGAGUUUAACAAGUCAGCAGAACUUACAGGUGGAUUUGAAAGUUGCUAUGAGCUAAGUGGUAGAAGAAAGAAGUGAAUGGCAACAUUGCCAUGUAAAUGGGUGUUUCUUUCUUCUUUUUCAAAUUAAGAAUAGUCCCCAAAAUUGACAAGCUGACUUUACAUACAGUUUGAGUGAAAAGAAUCUUCCUAUCGUCAGACAAUUCAGGUAAAUUCAUGUGUUCAGUAUUAUGAAGUGUGUGGCAAUUUCCUUCUUUGCAGACAUAUUUAACCACUGGCAGAAAGAAAAAAAAAA